UACGUAUGGUGCAAGCGUUAUCCGGAAUUACUGGGCGUAAAGGGCUCGUAGGCGGCCAACUAAGUCAGACGUGAAAUCCCUCGGCUUAACCGGGGAACUGCAUCUGAUACUGGAUGGCUUGAGUUCGGGAGAGGGAUGCGGAAUUCCAGGUGUAGCGGUGAAAUGCGUAGAUAUCAGGAGGAACACCUGUGGUGUAGACGGCUUUCUGGACCAUAGCUGACGCUGAGACACGAAAAGCGUGGGUAGCAAACAGG
This 254-nucleotide ribosomal RNA is filed under the name uncultured bacterium. RNAcentral describes it as "partial 16S ribosomal RNA". It matches the Rfam family "Bacterial small subunit ribosomal RNA", at positions 524 to 776 of the family's 1533-position model. The record is from RNAcentral.